UACGAAGGGGGCUAGCGUUGCUCGGAAUUACUGGGCGUAAAGCGCACGUAGGCGGUCUUUUAAGUCGGGGGUGAAAUCCUGGAGCUCAACUCCAGAACUGCCUUCGAUACUGGAAGACUUGAGUCCGGGAGAGGUGAGUGGAACUGCGAGUGUAGAGGUGAAAUGCGCAGAGAUCGGGAGGAACACCCGUAGCGAAGGCGGCACUCUGGGCCGGUACUGACGCUGAGGAGCGAAAGCGUGGGGAGCAAACAGG
This 253-nucleotide ribosomal RNA is filed under the name uncultured bacterium. RNAcentral's name for it is "partial 16S ribosomal RNA". It matches the Rfam family "Bacterial small subunit ribosomal RNA", at positions 524 to 776 of the family's 1533-position model. The record is from RNAcentral.